UACGUAGGCAGCGAGCGUUGUUCGGAAUUACUGGGCGUAAAGAGUGUGUAGGCGGUUCGGUAAGUCGGGUGUGAAACCUCCAGGCUCAACCUGGAGACGCCACCUGAUACUGCUGUGACUCGAGUCCGGUAGGGGAGCGUGGAAUUCCUGGUGUAGCGGUGAAAUGCGCAGAUAUCAGGAGGAACACCAGCGGCGAAGGCGGCGCUCUGGGCCGGAACUGACGCUGAGGAGCGAAAGCGUGGGUAGCAAACAGG
This 254-nucleotide ribosomal RNA is filed under the name uncultured bacterium. RNAcentral describes it as "partial 16S ribosomal RNA". It matches the Rfam family "Bacterial small subunit ribosomal RNA", at positions 524 to 776 of the family's 1533-position model. The record is from RNAcentral.